CUGGCUCAGGAUGAACGCUAGCGACAGGCCUAACACAUGCAAGUCGAGGGGCAGCACAAGGAGCAAUCUGAGGUGGCGACCGGCGCACGGGUGAGUAACACGUAUGCAACCUGCCUGUAAGCGGGGAAUAACCCGUUGAAAGACGGACUAAUACCGCAUAAUACUAAAUUACUGCAUGGUAAUUUAUUUAAACAUUUAUGGCUUACAGAUGGGCAUGCGCAUGAUUAGCUAGUUGGAGAGGUAACGGCUCCCCAAGGCAACGAUCAUUAGGGGUUCUGAGAGGAAGGUCCCCCCACACUGGUACUGAGACACGGACCAGACUCCUACGGGAGGCAGCAAUGAGGAAUAUUGGUCAAUGGACGAGAGUCUGAACCAGCCAAGUCGCGUGCAGGAAGAAUUGUCCUAUGGAUUGUAAACUGCUUUUGCAGGGGAAUAAAGUGCAUCACGUGUGAUGUUUUGUAUGUACUCUGCGAAUAAGGAUCGGCUAACUCCGUGCCAGCCGCAGC
Molecule: ribosomal RNA, 506 nt
Filed under: uncultured bacterium
Lineage: Bacteria
Description: bacterial SSU rRNA
Rfam family: Bacterial small subunit ribosomal RNA
Source: RNAcentral